RNAcentral lists this transfer RNA (73 nucleotides) under Candidatus Sungbacteria bacterium RIFCSPHIGHO2_02_FULL_41_12b. RNAcentral describes it as "tRNA-Lys". It matches the Rfam family "tRNA". From Rfam's summary of the family: Transfer RNA (tRNA) molecules are approximately 80 nucleotides in length. Their secondary structure includes four short double-helical elements and three loops (D, anti-codon, and T loops). Lineage: Bacteria; Candidatus Sungiibacteriota. The record is from RNAcentral. RNAcentral also lists the same sequence under 1 other name.
GCACCCAUAGCUCAGUUGGUAGAGCAGCUCCCUUUUAAGGAGAUGGUCGCAGGUUCGAAUCCUGCUGGGUGCA